AUGAGUUCACGUCGGGGCCUCCACCACGCCGCCGCGGCGUCGGGGGCGCUCCUCCUCUUCUCCGCCUCCGUCCUCCUCUCGGCCGUCCCGGCAGCAAGAGGCCAGCAGGAGACCGAGCGCGAGGAGGAGUUCAGCUACUCGCUGGACGCGGAGAACGGGCCGGCGCACUGGGGCCAGAUCAAGGAGGAGUGGUCGGCGUGCGGCAAAGGGGAGAUGCAGUCGCCCAUCGACCUCGCCGGCCCACGGGUCUCGCUGGUGCGCAUCCUCGGUCACCUCAACCACUCCUACGCCCCCGCCAACGCCUCCAUCAUCAACCGCGGCCACGACAUCAUGUUGAGGUUCGAGGGCGACCCCGGGAGCGUGUCCAUCGGCGGCACGGCGUACCACCUCCGGCAGCUGCACUGGCACGCGCCCACGGAGCACAGCGUCAACGGCCGCCGGUACGACAUGGAGCUGCACAUGGUGCACCAGAGCGCGCAGGGAAAGGCCGCCGUCAUCGGCGUCUUGUACGAGAUCGGCGCCCGCGACCCCUUCCUCCACAUGCUGGAGCCAUACCUGGAGAUGAUCGCCCAGCAGAGGCAGAGGGAGGAGAAGGUGGGCGUGGUGGACGCCCGGGGCGCGAGGGGCAGGGCCAGCGUGUACUACCGCUACGUGGGCUCCCUCACCACCCCGCCAUGCGCCCAAGGGGUCAUCUGGACCAUCGUCAAACGGGUUCGUACUGUGUCGCGGCACCAGCUGGAACUUCUCCGAGAGGCCGUCCACGAUGACAUGGAGAAGAACGCGAGGCCGCGUCAGGAGGUGAACAGCAGAGACAUCAGCAUCUUCCGGCCUAUCCAGCAGAACAGACAUUGA
Molecule: ribosomal RNA, 852 nt
Filed under: Triticum aestivum (bread wheat)
Lineage: Eukaryota; Viridiplantae; Streptophyta; Magnoliopsida; Poales; Poaceae
Description: partial small subunit ribosomal RNA
Source: RNAcentral